Non-coding RNA from Chrysochloris asiatica (Cape golden mole), 483 nucleotides. NCBI's taxonomy places the organism in Eukaryota, Metazoa, Chordata, Mammalia, Afrosoricida, Chrysochloridae. The record is from the annotation of a RefSeq genome assembly.
AUGGACUGGACUUUGAGAGUCGUCUUGUUGGUUGCAGCAACUACAGGUGGCCAAUCUCAGAUCCAGCUGGUGCAAUCUGGAGCUGAACUCAAGAAGCCUGGGUCAUCAGUGAAGAUCUCCUGCAAGACUUCUGGAUACACCUUCACUAGCUACGAUAUGAAUUGGGUGCGUCAGAUCCCUGGACAUGGGCUUGAGUGGAUCGGGUAUAUUAAUCCAAGCAAUGGUAGAACAAACUACGCACAGAAGUUCAAGGGCAGAGUCACCAUCACCAGUGAAAAGUCCACAAGCACAGCUUACAUGGAUCUAAGCAGUCUGAGCUCUGAGGACACGGCCAUGUAUUACUGUGCAAGAGACACAAGAGGUUUUGAAUUCACAGUUAUGGUAGUAGGUGAAUCUGGAUGGGGAAAGUCAACGUUAAUCAACUCACCACUCCUUAUCGAUCUGUAUUCUCCGUAUAGUAUCCAGUUUCUACCCCUAGAAUAA